GACGAACGCUGGCGGCGUGCUUAACACAUGCAAGUCGAACGGAAAGGCCCCUUUGGGGGUACUCGAGUGGCGAACGGGUGAGUAACACGUGAGUAACCGGCCCUUGACUUCGGGAUAACUUCAGGAAACUGGGGCUAAUACCGGAUAGGAAUCCUUGCUGCAUGGUGGGGGUUGGAAAGCUUCGGCGGUUUUGGAUGGACUCGCGGCUUAUCAGCUUGUUGGUGGGGUAGUGGCUUACCAAGGCGUUGACGGGUAGCCGGCCUGAGAGGGCGACCGGCCACAUUGGGACUGAGAUACGGCCCAGACUCCUACGGGGGGCAGCAGUGGGGAAUAUUGCACAAUGGGCGGGAGCCUGAUGCAGCAACGCCGCGUGCGGGAUGACGGCCUUCGGGUUGUAAACCGCUUUCAGCAGGGGCGAAGCUUGUGGUGACGGUACCUGCAGAAGAAGCACCGGCUAACUACGUG
RNAcentral lists this ribosomal RNA (465 nucleotides) under uncultured bacterium. RNAcentral describes it as "partial 16S ribosomal RNA". It matches the Rfam family "Bacterial small subunit ribosomal RNA", at positions 28 to 507 of the family's 1533-position model. The record is from RNAcentral.